AACUAUAGAGACUUUUCAUUUCUCUUCUAAUUUAAUUAUGUGACAUUUGCUAUGCCUAUGAGAUCCUAUUCAUUUCUUGUAAUUUAUGUGCUCUAUAAAUAGAUCUUUUUCACUUUUCAUUAUCAUCAUACCUUUCUUUUUUUUCUUUGUACCAAUAUCUUAUUUCUAAUUUUAAAUUCGUUUUUUCCUUUAAGUUUGAUUAUCACAAAUUUUAAUUUUUGUUUUUUUUGUUAUGACAGUACUCAAGAAUCAACACUUAUCAAUGUUGUGACACUACUACAAAAUUCACUAUUCACGUCGGUCAACGCGACUAUUCAUCGCGUUGACCGACGUGAAUAGUACCAUAUUAAAGAUAUUCGUCGUUUGUAAAAUGACACAAAUAAUAAAUGAUUUGCGUCGGUUGUAUAUCCCUCACAAAUUAGAUAACUGACGAAAAAAGUAUAAUGAUUAAAAAAAAUACAUAAUUAGCGUCAUUUUAUAAGCCUCACAAAUUCUUUGUGUGUCGUUUUUAAACCGACGGUAAAGGAUUUGCUUAAGUGAGAAAAUGACGGAAACCCUCUUAGGUUCACUUACCCCCAAAUUUCUUACAGACCAAAAUCAUUCCUUCAUUCUGCGUGAACCCAUUUUGGUCAGCCGCCUCAGCUCCGAAGGUCACGCAAUUUUGCAGACAAAAUUUUUCUCCUCAGCUCACGCAAUUUUGCUCUACUGUGCCUCAGAUUUUUCCUCCGUCGGCGCCGUAAGUCCCCUACGCUCACGCUGUUGUGGUCUCGAUCUCCUUGACCUCCAAUGCAUUGCAUAAAAUGUUGAUUUUGGAAGUUUGGAACCAUGAGUCUUUUGUAAAGGUUAAAGUACCUGGGGGGCGAGGGAAGCCAUCCAUAAUUGUUGACAUUGACAAGGAUGAAGGUCUAAGUUCGAUGCUGCAAAAUUGAGAAAACUCAGACCGGAUUUCAAGUAGAGCAGGGGCUCUGUUACAGCUGGCAAUGCUUCUAUCAUAAGGUUCCCCCUCUUUCUCCCCCAACCAAAAAAUAGAAAGUAAUUUUGUUUUAAGUGUGGUAAUGCAAUUGGAUAUGUUGUUUCUUGUGUCUUCUGUUUUGAGGCUUGUACUGUCUAAAUAUUAAUAUACAUUUCAGCAACUGGUUUAGUAACUGCGAUUCUUGUAGUUUAUACUACAACAAAACUGGUUUAUAUUCUAGGGUUGCAGAUUUUAAGUAGCCUUAAUAUGGUUUGGUUCCUUUAUCAUGAAUAGUGAUGGUGCGGCUGCAUUAGUCCUAGUGAGUGGAGAGAAAGCACUUCAACUUGGAUUGUAAGUAAUUGCAAAGAUUAAGAGAUUUGCUAAUGUAGCUUAGGCACUUGAAUUCUUCACAAUUGCUCCAGCCCUUGUGAUUCCAAAAUCCAUUUUAAAUGCUGGUUUAGAUGCUUCUCAGAUUGAUUACUAUGAAAUAAGAAAUUUUUUGUUAUAGCUCUAGCCAAUCAAUAGCUGCUUGGUUGUAAUCCUAAUGCCUUAAUGUACAUGGUGGGGCUGUAUCAUUGGGACACUCACUUGGAUACAGUGGAGCUAGUAUCUUGGUCACAUUGUUAGAGGUACUGAGACAUUAAAAUGUAAAGUACGGGGUUGGUGCCAUAUGCAAUGGUGGUGGGGGAGCUUCUUCACUUGUUCUUGAGCUCAUGUGAUGUUGGGUGUUGAUCGUCUUGACAUGAUCAAAGGAAUCCCACAGAAGAUUUUGGCUUUCGAAAAGUUCCUAGAGGAGAAUCCAAGCUGGCGUGAUAAAGUAGUUCUACUUCAAAUUGUUGUGCCAACAAGAACAGAUGUUCCAGAAUGUAUGUUCAUUAUCAAAAUAUGUUCCUACCCACUGUCUGUUAUGCCUAUUUUUUUUAAGUCUAUCUGUAGUUUGUUGUCUAAUGUUAUUUCAAUCAUAUGACUAUCAUUAAAUUUAUAUCAUCUCGAUCAAUUUAUAAAUAAUAGAGUUGUUUAUUAUUGUAUAAUACAGAUCAAAUACACACACAAUGUUAUUGGUAUUGUGUGAUUAGUUAAUAUAAUCGAUUAUUAAUUUUAUGUAA
Molecule: long non-coding RNA, 2058 nt
Organism: Cannabis sativa
Lineage: Eukaryota; Viridiplantae; Streptophyta; Magnoliopsida; Rosales; Cannabaceae
Exons: 9
Source: RefSeq, a predicted model, not a curated record